AUGAAGGUCAGGCUCCAGGUGCGGCGCAUGUGGGAGGCAGUCCAGGACAGCAACGUCGACCACCUAGAGGAUCGACGGGCACUGGACGCCCUCAUCGCCGCAGUCCCGCCCGAGAUGCAGUUCUCGCUUUCCAACAAGCGGACUGCCAAGGAGGCUUGGGACGCCAUCGCCGCAGCACGCAUCGGCAGCGACCGUGCUCGCAAGUCCACCCUGCAGGCACUUCGUAAGGAGUGGGAGAACCUGGGCUUCAAGCCAGGUGAGGACGUUGAUGACUUUGCUCUCCGUCUCAACACUCUGCUGCAGAAGAUGGUGAAGUUUGGCGAUGCCACCUACACCGAGGAGAGAGUUGUCGAGAAGCUUUUUCGGUGCAUU
RNAcentral lists this ribosomal RNA (372 nucleotides) under Triticum aestivum (bread wheat). RNAcentral's name for it is "partial small subunit ribosomal RNA". The record is from RNAcentral. Lineage: Eukaryota; Viridiplantae; Streptophyta; Magnoliopsida; Poales; Poaceae.